This 3420-nucleotide unclassified non-coding RNA is filed under the name Hevea brasiliensis (rubber tree). The record is from RNAcentral. Lineage: Eukaryota; Viridiplantae; Streptophyta; Magnoliopsida; Malpighiales; Euphorbiaceae.
CAUUGGUCGCAAACGCCCAAUUCACAAACAAAGCACACUCACUACUCUUCUUCGAGUCCUGUCCUGCAAAUCUUUCUAUCUCUAACGUUCCUUUCUCUCUCUACUUCUUUCUAGUUUAUUCGCUCUUUCUGUAGCUUGCUGUGCGGAUCUGCUUGUUUAUCCUGAGAGAUCUCGGCUUGAGAUUUCUCAACUGAUAUUUCUGCAAUUUCCACACCAAGAGAAACAAGACAUUAAUUUCAUAGCCUCUCCUGCGGAAGCAUAAGCUUGUGCUACUGUCUCUUCUAAAUUUCUGUAUUAUAAAGAUGACAGUCAGAACUCCAGGAACUCCGGCUUCUAAGAUUGAUAGGACACCAGCGUCAACUCCUGGAGGUCCCAAAACAAAGGAAGAGAAGAUUGUAGUUACCGUACGAUUAAGACCUCUAAGCAAAAAAGAGCAGUUAGCCAAAGACCAAGUAGCAUGGGAGUGUGUUGAUGAUCGCACCAUUGUAUUUAAGCCACCAACUCAGGAACGUACAGCUCAACAGGCCCCAUUCACAUUUGAUAAAGUUUUUGGUCCCACUUGUUUAACUGAAACUGUAUAUGAGGAUGGAGUAAAGAAUGUUGCUUUGUCUGCUUUGAUGGGCAUAAAUGCAACCAUAUUUGCAUAUGGGCAGACUAGCAGUGGGAAGACAUAUACGAUGAGAGGAAUAACUGAGAAAGCUGUUAAUGACAUCUAUAAGCAUAUAAUGAAUACCCCGGAGAGGGAUUUUACUAUUAAGAUUUCUGGACUAGAAAUUUAUAAUGAAAAUGUCAGGGACCUGCUGAAUUCAGAAUCUGGUAGAAAUCUCAAGCUUCUUGAUGACCCAGAGAAAGGCACUGUGGUUGAGAAGUUGGUAGAAGAAACAGCAAGUAAUGACCAGCAUUUAAGGCAUCUGAUUAGUAUUUGUGAAGCCCAAAGGCAAGUUGGUGAGACUGCCCUUAAUGAUACUAGCUCGCGGUCACACCAAAUUAUAAGGCUGACAAUAGAAAGUACCCUCCGUGAAAAUUCAGAUUGUGUGAGAUCAUUCGUUGCAGGCCUGAACUUUGUAGACCUAGCUGGAAGUGAAAGAGCCUCACAGACACAUGCAGAUGGUGCCAGGCUCAGGGAAGGAUGCCAUAUUAAUCUUAGUUUGAUGACACUGACAACUGUGAUAAGAAAGCUCAGUGUGGGGAAAAGAAGCGGUCAUAUACCUUACCGAGACUCAAAGCUUACUCGCAUCUUGCAGCAUUCCCUUGGUGGGAAUGCACGUACUGCCAUCAUAUGUACUUUAAGUCCAGCACUUAGCCAUGUUGAACAAUCUCGAAACACUCUCUUCUUUGCCACACGAGCAAAAGAAGUUACUAACAAUGCCCAUGUCAACAUGGUUGUUUCUGAUAAGCAGCUGGUGAAGCAUCUACAGAAGGAAGUGGCCAGGCUGGAAGCAGAGCUGCGCACUCCUGACCCUACCAAGGAGAAAGACUUGAAAAUUCAGCAGAUGGAGAUGGAAAUGGAAGAAUUAAGACGCCAGAGGGAUCUUGCACAAUCUCAAGUAGAUGAGUUACGGAAAAAAAUUCAAGUGGACCAACAGCCUGGCGCAUUGGAAUCUCCACGUCCAUCAGUGAAGAAGUGUCUCUCUUACUCGGAUGCAUUGUUGCCAAAACAGGACAGCAAGGAUUUAAGCCGCUUUGAUAGAACAAGAAAAACUAUGUUAAGGCAGUCUAUGAGGCAAUCAUCAACUGCACCUUUCACUCUAGUGCACGAAAUACGCAAACUAGAACAUCUUCAAGAACAACUUGGAGAAGAAGCUAAUCGAGCUCUUGAAGUCCUACAAAAGGAGGUUGCUUGUCAUAGACUAGGUAACCAAGAUGCAGCUGAGACGAUUGCUAAACUGCAAGCAGAAAUAAGAGAAAUGCGAUCCAUUCAACCAGCUCCUAAGGAAGUGGAAAUCGGCAGUGUUGUAGCUCCUAACAAAAGUGUCAGUGCCAACCUCAAGGAAGAGAUAACCAGACUUCAUUCACAGGGCAGCACUAUAGCAGAUCUUGAAGAGCAGUUGGAAAAUGUUCAGAAGUCUAUAGACAAAUUAGUAAUGUCUCUUCCAAGCAAUAAUCCACAAUCAAACUGUGAAGCAGCUUCCAAAGCUAAGAAUCAACCAAAGAAGAAAAAGAUACUUCCUUUGGCAUCAAGUAAUGGUGCCAACAGGCAAAACUUUUUAAGGUCUCCUUGCUCACCACUAUCAACUUCUCGGCAAAUUUUGGAAAAUGACAUAGAAAAUAAAGCUCCAGGGAAUGAAGACAUUAUAUCCUCGGAGACCCAGCCAGAGUCUGAGAAAGAGACCCCUACGAAGAGUGAAGAAGGUGGAGAAGUGUCAUCGAAGGAAGGCGCUCCAGGCUAUAGACGUUCUAGUUCAGUUAAUAUGAAGAAAAUGCAGAAGAUGUUUCAGAAUGCAGCAGAGGAGAAUGUAAGAAGCAUAAGAGCAUAUGUGACAGAACUGAAGGAACGUGUUGCCAAACUGCAAUACCAAAAGCAGUUGCUUGUUUGCCAGGUCCUUGAGCUGGAAGCAAAUGAAGCAGCUGGAUAUAAUCUUGAGGAUGAAGAGAACAUAAAUGAACCAGAACCUCAAGUUUCCUGGCAAGUAACUUUUAGGGAGCAAAGGCAGCAGAUCAUUGAAUUAUGGGAUGUGUGCUAUGUAUCCAUCAUCCAUAGGACACAGUUUUAUUUGUUAUUCAAGGGGGAUCCUGCUGAUCAAAUAUACAUGGAAGUUGAGCUUAGGCGCUUGACUUGGCUUCAGCAGCAUUUGGCAGAAAUUGGCAAUGCAAGCCCAGCUCGUGUUGGAGAUGAGCCUACAAUUUCUCUGUCAUCAAGUAUUAGAGCAUUGAAACGUGAAAGGGAAUUCCUGGCGAAGAGGUUGACCUCGCGUUUAACUGUUGAGGAAAGAGAUACAUUGUACAUGAAAUGGGAUGUUCCACUUGAGGGGAAGCAGAGGAAGUUGCAGUUUGUGAACAAACUGUGGACGAAUCCCCAUGAUGCAAGGCAUGUACAGGAAAGUGCUGAGAUAGUGGCAAAGCUUGUUGGUUUCUGCGAAGGAGGAAACAUGUCAAAGGAGAUGUUUGAGCUCAAUUUCGCCUUACCAACAGAUAAAAGACCAUGGAUUGUGGGCUGGAACCCAAUUUCAAACCUUCUACAUUUAUGAGAAAUCCAUUUUUCUUUUGUAAGUAUUUCCUAUUUCUGUACAUGAAAAUGAAUUUUGGAGUUUUUCUCCAUCAUUCUAGAUUAUUUUUGGUUAAAUUAUGGUGUGACUUAUUGUGCACACUCUGCAUGAAAAUGAUUUGGAUAUUUAUCUUCACAUUUCAAUAACAGAAGAAUUUAUUCAUUUUGUUUCUAUGUGAUGUACUACUUUUCACUUUUGAUUAUUGAUGUCGUAA